AUGAAGAUUGAACAAGAAAUUAUUAAUCUUCUUAGUCUAGAACACUCCCGAAGAGGACUAUACCUAUUCUAUGAGAAGUGGGUGAGCAGUGACGACAAGGUGGAACAGAGUCCCCCAUCUCUGGUUGUCCCUGAGGGAGAGAGUGCAGCUCUCAACUGCAGCUAUGAAGUGACCAACUUUCGAAGCCUGCAGUGGUACAAGCAGGAAGAAAACGCUCCCACUCUUCUGUUUAUACUAGUUUCAAGUGGGAUAGAGAAGAAGUUGGGAAGAUUAAGUGGCACCUUAAAUAAGAAACAUAGCACCCUGCACAUCACAGCCACCCAGCCUGGAGACAAAGCCACCUACCUCUGUGCUGUGGAGGCACAGUGCUCCCUAGGCACCUGCAGCCUAUACUCAAAUGCUGCAGCUGAGGCUCUGCAACUGUAA
This is a non-coding RNA of Sciurus carolinensis (gray squirrel), 426 nucleotides long. The record is from the annotation of a RefSeq genome assembly. Lineage: Eukaryota; Metazoa; Chordata; Mammalia; Rodentia; Sciuridae.